This 370-nucleotide ribosomal RNA is filed under the name Gemmatimonadota bacterium. RNAcentral's name for it is "Gemmatimonadetes bacterium partial 23S ribosomal RNA". It matches the Rfam family "Bacterial large subunit ribosomal RNA", at positions 2557 to 2925 of the family's 2925-position model. The record is from RNAcentral. Lineage: Bacteria; Pseudomonadati; Gemmatimonadota.
AGAAGGUCCCAAGGGUCGGGCUGUUCGCCCGUUAAAGCGGUACAUGAGCUGGGUUUAGAACGUCGUGAGACAGUUCGGUCUGUAUCCGUCGUGGGCGUUGGAGUAUUGAGGGGAGCUGCUCCUAGUACGAGAGGACCGGAGUGGACUGACCACUCGUGUACCGGUUGUUCCGCCAGGGGCAUUGCCGGGUAGCGACGUCGGGAAGGGAUAACCGCUGAAAGCAUCUAAGUGGGAAGCCCCCCCCAAGAUGAGUACUCCCAGACUUUGUUCUCGGAAGGGCCGUGCGAGACGAGCACGUUGAUAGGCGGCAAGUGGAAGCGUGGUAACACGUGCAGCUGAGCCGUACUAAUGGCCCGAGAGGCUUGACCAG